RNAcentral lists this ribosomal RNA (423 nucleotides) under uncultured archaeon. RNAcentral's name for it is "bacterial SSU rRNA". It matches the Rfam family "Archaeal small subunit ribosomal RNA", at positions 581 to 997 of the family's 1478-position model. The record is from RNAcentral.
AUACUGCCAGACUUGGAACCGGGAGAGGUAAGAGGUACCUACAGGGGUAGGAGUGAAAUCUUGUAAUCCCGUGUGGGACCACCUGGUGGCGAAGGCGUCUUACCAGAACGGGUUCGACGGUGAGGGACGAAAGCUGGGGGCACGAACCGGAUUAGAUACCCGGGUAGUCCCAGCCGUAAACGAUGCUCGCUAGGUGUCAGGCAUGGCGCGACCGUGUACUGGUGCCGCAGGGAAGCCGUGAAGCGAGCCACCUGGGAAGUACGGCCGCAAGGCUGAAACUUAAAGGAAUUGGCGGGGGAGCACAACAACGGGUGGGAAGCCUGCGGUUUAAUUGGACUCAACGCCGGACAACUCACCGGGGGCGACAGCAAUAUGUAGGCCAAGCUGAAGACUUUGCCUGAAUCGCUGAGAAGAGGUGCAUGG